Molecule: ribosomal RNA, 1741 nt
Filed under: Ditylenchus brevicauda
Lineage: Eukaryota; Metazoa; Nematoda; Chromadorea; Rhabditida; Anguinidae
Description: SSU rRNA
Rfam family: Eukaryotic small subunit ribosomal RNA
Source: RNAcentral
CUCAAAGAUUAAGCCAUGCAUGUAUAAGUAGAAACGUUUCGGUCGUGAAACCGCGAACGGCUCAUUACAACAGCUAUAAUUUACUUGAUCUUGACGCAUCCUACAUGGAUAACUGUGGUAAUUCUAGAGCUAAUACAUGCACCAAAGCUCUGCCCCCCGCGGGAAGAGUGCAUUUAUUAGAGCAAAACCAGGCGCUGCCGCAAGGUGGCGUUCCGUGUUGACUCARAAUAACCUCUAGCUGAUCGCACGGUCCUCGUACCGGCGACGUGUCUUUCAAGUGUCUGCCUUAUCAACUUUCGAUGGUAGUGUAUCUGACUACCAUGGUUGUGACGGGUAACGGAGGAUAAGGGUUCGACUCCGGAGAAGGGGCCUGAAAAAUGGCCACUACGUCUAAGGAUGGCAGCAGGCGCGCAAAUUACCCACUCUCGGCACGAGGAGGUAGUGACGAAAAAUAACGAGACCGUUCUCACAAGAGGCCGGUCAUCGGAAUGGGUACAAUCUAAACCCUUUAACGAGUAUCUAUGAGAGGGCAAGUCUGGUGCCAGCAGCCGCGGUAAUUCCAGCUCUCAAAAUGCAUAGAACCAUUGCUGCGGUUAAAAAGCUCGUAGUUGGAUCUGCGCCGGCGGGCAAGUCCCCUCCACGUGGGGUGGUACUUGUCUCCGCCGGCUAGUGCCGGAACAGCUGGAUAGCUCACCUCGCGUGACUGUUCGUGCCGCCUGGCGUUUUACUUUGAACAAAUCAGAGUGCUCAGCACAGGCGUCUCGCCUGAAUGUUCGUGCAUGGAAUAAUAGAAGAGGAUUUCGGUCCUAUUUUAUUGGUUUUGAGGACUGAGAUAAUGGUUAACAGAGACAGACGGGGGCAUUCGUAUUGCUGCGUGAGAGGUGAAAUUCUUGGACCGCAGCAAGACGGACAACAGCGAAAGCAUUUGCCAAGARUGUCUUCAUUAAUCRAGAACGAAAGUCAGAGGUUCGAAGGCGAUCAGAUACCGCCCUAGUUCUGACCGUAAACGAUGCCAACUAGCGAUCCGCCGGCGGAUUCCAAACGCCCUGGUGGGGAGCUUCCCGGAAACGAAAGUCUUCCGGUUCCGGGGGAAGUAUGGUUGCAAAGCUGAAACUUAAAGGAAUUGACGGAAGGGCACCACCAGGAGUGGAGCCUGCGGCUUAAUUUGACUCAACACGGGAAAACUCACCCGGCCCGGACACCGCGAGGAUUGACAGAUUGAUAGCUCUUUCAUGAUUCGGUGGAUGGUGGUGCAUGGCCGUUCUUAGUUCGUGGAGCGAUUUGUCUGGUUUAUUCCGAUAACGAGCGAGACUCUAGCCUACUAACUAGUCCGCAUGUUCCUUGUGUUGCAUGCUCACUACGGACUUCUUAGAGGGAUUUUCGGCGUUUCAGCCGCACGAAACUGAGCAAUAACAGGUCUGUGAUGCCCUUAGAUGUCUGGGGCUGCACGCGCGCUACACUGGCGAAAUCAGCGUGCCUGUCCUCUCGCGAAAGCGACUGGUAAACCGGUGAAAAUUCGCCGUGAUUGGGAUCGGAAAUUGCAAUUAUUUUCCGUGAACGAGGAAUUCCAAGUAAGUGCGAGUCAUCAACUCGCGUUGAUUACGUCCCUGCCCUUUGUACACACCGCCCGUCGCUGCCCGAGACUGAGCCAUUUCGAGAAAUUUGGGGAUUGUCGCUUGUUGUGGGGGCAACUCCACUCCAGCGGUGAGAACCAACUUAAUCGCAGUGGCUUGAAUCGGGC